UGGGGAAUAUUGCACAAUGGGGGAAACCCUGAUGCAGCGACGCCGCGUGGAGGAAGAAGGCCCUCGGGUUGUAAACUCCUGUCUUCGGGGACGAUAAUGACGGUACCCGAGGAGGAAGCCACGGCUAACUACGUGCCAGCAGCCGCGGUAAAACGUAGGUGGCAAGCGUUGUCCGGAAUUACUGGGUGUAAAGGGAGCGCAGGCGGAGCGGCAAGUUGGAGGUGAAACCCAUGGGCUCAACCCAUGAACUGCCUUCAAAACUGCCGGUCUUGAGUGGUGUAGAGGUAAGCGGAAUUCCCGGUGUAGCGGUGGAAUGCGUAGAUAUCGGGAGGAACACCAGUGGCGAAGGCGGCUUACUGGGCACUAACUGACGCUGAGGCUCGAAAGCAUGGGUAGCAAACAGGAUUAGAUACCC
Molecule: ribosomal RNA, 415 nt
Filed under: uncultured bacterium
Lineage: Bacteria
Description: bacterial SSU rRNA
Rfam family: Bacterial small subunit ribosomal RNA
Source: RNAcentral